AAUUUUAGUCGGUUGCAGUAAUUAUUAUAAAACUGAUUAUUUUUUGUAUUGUAUUUCCAAACUUCAUUUUGAUAUUCAUGAUGAAUCAAAAUUCUUAGUCAUUUGAUAAAAUUAAAUAGUUUUAGUCACAUAUCCUCUUUCAUCACUACUAUCAAAUCUUAUCAUUAUUUGAUAUUCAAUGGGUAUCAAAAUAAAAUUAUGAAAGAGUUUAUGAAUGUGAUAAUGUUAGAUUUCAAUUAUAACUAUAAACAAAUAAAAAAAUGGAGUUUAAAAUUUGAUGGAUAAAUUUUGAUAACUAUCCCUGAACUUAUCUAGUUGUA
This 320-nucleotide unclassified non-coding RNA is filed under the name Hevea brasiliensis (rubber tree). The record is from RNAcentral. Lineage: Eukaryota; Viridiplantae; Streptophyta; Magnoliopsida; Malpighiales; Euphorbiaceae.